CAGUCGCCGCGGUAAUACGAAGGGGGCUAGCGUUGCUCGGAAUUACUGGGCGUAAAGGGCGCGUAGGCGGAUAGUUUAGUCAGAGGUGAAAGCCCAGGGCUCAACCUUGGAAUUGCCUUUGAUACUGGCUAUCUUGAGUUCGGGAGAGGUGAGUGGAAUGCCGAGUGUAGAGGUGAAAUUCGUAGAUAUUCGGCGGAACACCAGUGGCGAAGGCGACUCACUGGCCCGAUACUGACGCUGAGGCGCGAAAGCGUGGGGAGCAAACAGGAUUAGAUACCCCCGUAGUCCCUGUCUCUUAUAC
Molecule: ribosomal RNA, 301 nt
Filed under: uncultured bacterium
Lineage: Bacteria
Description: partial 16S ribosomal RNA
Rfam family: Bacterial small subunit ribosomal RNA
Source: RNAcentral